This 236-nucleotide unclassified non-coding RNA is filed under the name plant metagenome. RNAcentral's name for it is "partial contains small subunit ribosomal RNA, internal transcribed spacer 1, and 5.8S ribosomal RNA". The record is from RNAcentral.
UUUCCGUAGGUGAACCUGCGGAAGGAUCAUUACUGAGUGAGGGCCCCUCGGGGCCCAACCUCCCACCCGUGUUUAACGAACCUUGUUGCUUCGGCGGGCCCGCCUCACGGCCGCCGGGGGGCAUCUGCCCCCGGGCCCGCGCCCGCCGAAGCCACCUGUGAACGCUGUCUGAAGUAUGCAGUCUGAGACAAUUAUUAAAUUAAUUAAAACUUUCAACAACGGAUCUCUUGGUUCCG